CCGCCCACCCAAAAAUGCUUAUGUUGCUCAGACCGAGACUACAUGUAACAAGGGAUUUUCUUUAUCUGAAGGGGAGUAUAAUGAGUUCCUUCAAUAUCGAGCAAGUAAGCAGACAUCUCCACAAGUAGCCUCUGUUGACUGAUACUUCUGUUGCUGGUAAUUCUUUUACUUGUGUUUCCCAGUCUAGUACUCUUGGACAAUGGGUUCUGGACUCAGCCGCUUCUGAUCAUAUCUCUGAUAAUAAAUCACUUUUGUCAAAUAUUGCGUAUUUUACUUUAGCCAAUGGGUCUCAAACUAAAGCAAAAGGUGUUGGACAAGCGAAUCCCCUAGCCUCUGUCAUGCUAGAUUCCGUUCUUUUAUGUCCCUGGCUGUCCUUUUAAUCUUGCAUCUGUUAGUCGUUUGACUCGUGCCCUCCAUUGUGGUAUAUAUUUUAUUGAUGAUUCUUUUAUUAUGCAGGACCGCAGUACGGGACAGACGAUUGGAACAUGACUUGAAUUAGAAAGCCUUUACUACCUUAACUCACUCAAUUCCUCCAAGGCAUGUCUAGUUACAGAUCCUCCGG
RNAcentral lists this long non-coding RNA (562 nucleotides) under Nicotiana tabacum (common tobacco). RNAcentral's name for it is "long non-coding RNA (NTAB_LNC010357)". The record is from RNAcentral. Lineage: Eukaryota; Viridiplantae; Streptophyta; Magnoliopsida; Solanales; Solanaceae.